UACGUAGGGUGCAAGCGUUACUCGGAAUUACCGGGCGUAAAGCGUGCGCAGGCGGUUGUGCAAGCCAGAUGUGAAAUCCCCGGGCUUAACCUGGGAACUGCAUUUGUGACUGCACGGCUAGAGUACGGCAGAGGGGGAUGGAAUUCCGCGUGUAGCAGUGAAAUGCGUAGAUAUGCGGAGGAACACCAAUGGCGAAGGCAGUCCCCUGGGCCUGUACUGACGCUCAUGCACGAAAGCGUGGGGAGCAAACAGG
RNAcentral lists this ribosomal RNA (253 nucleotides) under uncultured bacterium. RNAcentral describes it as "partial 16S ribosomal RNA". It matches the Rfam family "Bacterial small subunit ribosomal RNA", at positions 524 to 776 of the family's 1533-position model. The record is from RNAcentral.